GGGCCGGGAGCGCUGGUGGCGCCGCGGCUCGCCGCUGUGUCUGGGCCGGCUCCGCCCAGGCCACGGUGCUGGUGUCCGGGCCGGCUCC
Molecule: transfer RNA, 88 nt
Filed under: Amycolatopsis sp. NBRC 101858
Lineage: Bacteria; Bacillati; Actinomycetota; Actinomycetes; Pseudonocardiales; Pseudonocardiaceae
Description: tRNA-Ala
Source: RNAcentral